UUCCAAUAAAAGCUCAGAUUUCAGUUACUAAAAAGAGUAUUUUUGUCGCUGUUGUUGUAGCAAUGCGUUGUGUUUCAUCCAUUCGUUAUCGUGAUGUGCCGUAUAAACUGCCUUUAAGAUUUAACACUCGCGUUAGUCAUAGGCUCAUCCUUGGUUCGUGUUGAUUACAACUUUUGCCGAAAACGCCGAAAAUUUGAAUAAAAGAAAAAACGAAAUAUCGCAAGCCAUUCAAACAUGUUGUGUCUUUAACUUUUGUCACUGGUUAUCCCGUAUAUCACCCUAAAGCCAAACUUUCUUCUUUCUCACAUUCUUUACUCAAAACAACCAAGGAUGCAUUUAUAAGCAAAUCUAAAUGGCAAAGGCUUAAGAUGGCACAGCUGUGAUUUUUUUUUAAAUCUUAAAAAACAUGUUCUAUUUGAUCCGAUAUACAUAUAUGAAACACAUUUGAAGAA
Molecule: long non-coding RNA, 452 nt
Organism: Stomoxys calcitrans (stable fly)
Lineage: Eukaryota; Metazoa; Arthropoda; Insecta; Diptera; Muscidae
Exons: 3
Source: RefSeq, a predicted model, not a curated record